This 483-nucleotide long non-coding RNA is filed under the name Homo sapiens (human). Its description in RNAcentral is "long intergenic non-protein coding RNA 1389". The record is from RNAcentral. Lineage: Eukaryota; Metazoa; Chordata; Mammalia; Primates; Hominidae.
AGCUCCUGAGGGCAAAGCCUGGGCCUCAUCCUCUUGUGGAUCCAGGAGAGCAGUCGCUGAAGAGAAAGAGGAAGAAAAGGAGUGGCUAGAAAAGAAAGUUUAUUUCCACUGCAGGAAGCACUGCCUCCCAUCUGAGAAAUGUCCCAAGCAGGAAUCAGUGCUGCGAUGAACUUAUGAGUGAAUGCAUCAAAAAGACCAAGUUGAACUUAUGAGCGAAUGCAUCAAAAAGACCAAGACUUGAUCCCUUGCCCACAAAGAUACAAGGCUGAGGACAAAGCCAUGAAGGAAAAGCCUCACUGAAGAAGAGGAACCUAAGAGAAGCAGGUUCUGCUCUGAUGAACUCCCAUAAAGGCAUUCCCAUAAAGGUGUGGGCCUGAGUGAUAAUCUAGAUAUGGUACAGUUGACAUCAGGUAUAUGGCGGCAGCCAGAAAUUCAACUUUGUCCAUCAGCUCUCUGCACAACAGGAAAGAUGGUGACCUUCCA